UUGAUAUGAUGAUUUUCUUCUCACGAUGGUCUUCAUAGCACCCUUGGUGAGGGAGCAAUGCUGAGACUGCCUAUUGGCAUUAACUGAUCAAGCCAC
Molecule: small nucleolar RNA, 96 nt
Organism: Lethenteron reissneri (Far Eastern brook lamprey)
Lineage: Eukaryota; Metazoa; Chordata; Hyperoartia; Petromyzontiformes; Petromyzontidae
Product: small nucleolar RNA SNORD35
Source: RefSeq, a predicted model, not a curated record